CUCCUCUCAGGAUCACACCUGGAGAGUUUCCAGUACCCUACUAGUCUCAUUUAUGGGAGGGAGAGUCAAGCAGAGGGUCAUAUCCAUUCCAUUCCUAGCUUGGCCAGUGGCUAGUGAGUGGAAGGCAAUCUGCUACAAGU
Tachyglossus aculeatus (Australian echidna) is the source of this 140-nucleotide small nucleolar RNA. The record is from RefSeq and is a predicted model, not a curated record. Lineage: Eukaryota; Metazoa; Chordata; Mammalia; Monotremata; Tachyglossidae.